RNAcentral lists this ribosomal RNA (519 nucleotides) under uncultured Sphingomonas sp. RNAcentral describes it as "bacterial SSU rRNA". It matches the Rfam family "Bacterial small subunit ribosomal RNA", at positions 1016 to 1533 of the family's 1533-position model. The record is from RNAcentral. Lineage: Bacteria; Pseudomonadati; Pseudomonadota; Alphaproteobacteria; Sphingomonadales; Sphingomonadaceae.
CCCGUUCGGGGACGUGGGACACAGGUGCUGCAUGGCUGUCGUCAGCUCGUGUCGUGAGAUGUUGGGUUAAGUCCCGCAACGAGCGCAACCCUCGCCUUUAGUUACCAUCAUUUAGUUGGGGACUCUAAAGGAACCGCCGGUGAUAAGCCGGAGGAAGGUGGGGAUGACGUCAAGUCCUCAUGGCCCUUACGCGCUGGGCUACACACGUGCUACAAUGGCGACUACAGUGGGCGGCAAUCCCGCGAGGGUGAGCUAAUCUCCAAAAGUCGUCUCAGUUCGGAUUGUUCUCUGCAACUCGAGAGCAUGAAGGCGGAAUCGCUAGUAAUCGCGGAUCAGCAUGCCGCGGUGAAUACGUUCCCAGGCCUUGUACACACCGCCCGUCACACCAUGGGAGUUGGAUUCACCCGAAGGCGUUGCGCUAACUCGCAAGAGAGGCAGGCGACCACGGUGGGUUUAGCGACUGGGGUGAAGUCGUAACAAGGUAGCCGUAGGGGAACCUGCGGCUGGAUCACCUCCUUU